CCUACGGGGUGCUGCAGUGAGGAAUAUUGGUCAAUGGCCGGAAGGCUGAACCAGCCAAGCCGCGUGAGGGAGGAAGGCGCAGAGCGUCGCAGACCUCUUUUGCCGGGGGACAAAAGGCCGGACGGGUCCGGUUCUGAGGGUACCCGGAGAAAAAGCAUCGGCUAACUCCGUGCCAGCAGCCGCGGUAAUACGGAGGAUGCGAGCGUUAUCCGGAUUCAUUGGGUUUAAGGGGUGCGCAGGCGGGCCUUUAAGCCGGCGGUGAAAUGGCGGGGCUCAACCCCGCCGAGCCGUCGGAACUGGGGGCCUGGAGUGCGGCGGAGGCAUGCGGAAGGCGCGGGGUAGCGGUGAAAUGCAGAGAUAGCGCGCAG
Molecule: ribosomal RNA, 368 nt
Filed under: uncultured bacterium
Lineage: Bacteria
Description: partial 16S ribosomal RNA
Rfam family: Bacterial small subunit ribosomal RNA
Source: RNAcentral